This 83-nucleotide transfer RNA is filed under the name Cotesia glomerata. RNAcentral describes it as "tRNA-Tyr". Lineage: Eukaryota; Metazoa; Arthropoda; Insecta; Hymenoptera; Braconidae. The record is from RNAcentral.
GCGGCUGCGUGGCCGAGCGGUUUAAGUCUUAAACUGCCUGUACAACAGUCGCUCAGGCGUAGGUUCGAGCCCUGGCAGUCGCA